GAUGAACGCUGGCGGCGUGCCUAAUACAUGCAAGUCGAGCGAACAGAUGAGGAGCUUGCUCCUCUGACGUUAGCGGCGGACGGGUGAGUAACACGUGGAUAACCUACCUAUAAGACUGGGAUAACUUCGGGAAACCGGAGCUAAUACCGGAUAAUAUAUUGAACCGCAUGGUUCAAUAGUGAAAGACGGUUUUGCUGUCACUUAUAGAUGGAUCCGCGCCGCAUUAGCUAGUUGGUAAGGUAACGGCUUACCAAGGCAACGAUGCGUAGCCGACCUGAGAGGGUGAUCGGCCACACUGGAACUGAGACAUGGUCCAGACUCCUACGGGAGGCAGCAGUAGGGAAUCUUCCGCAAAGGGCGAAAGCCUGACGGAGCAACGCCGCGUGAGUGAUGAAGGUCUUCGGAUCGUAAAACUCUGUUAUUAGGGAAGAACAAAUGUGUAAGUAACUAUGCACGUCUUGACGGUACCUAAUCAGAAAGCCACGGCUAACUACGUG
Molecule: ribosomal RNA, 497 nt
Filed under: uncultured bacterium
Lineage: Bacteria
Description: partial 16S ribosomal RNA
Rfam family: Bacterial small subunit ribosomal RNA
Source: RNAcentral